RNAcentral lists this unclassified non-coding RNA (341 nucleotides) under soil metagenome. RNAcentral's name for it is "partial contains 5.8S ribosomal RNA, internal transcribed spacer 2, and large subunit ribosomal RNA". The stretch from base 1 to 120 matches the Rfam family "5.8S ribosomal RNA", at positions 35 to 154 of the family's 154-position model. The record is from RNAcentral.
GAUGAAGAACGUAGCGAAAUGCGAUAAGUAAUGUGAAUUGCAGAAUUCAGUGAAUCAUCGAAUCUUUGAACGCACAUUGCGCCCGCCAGCAUUCUGGCGGGCAUGCCUGUUCGAGCGUCAUUUCAACCCUCGAGCCCCCCCGGGGGCCUCGGUGUUGGGGGACGGCACACCAGCCGCCCCCGAAAUGCAGUGGCGACCUCGCCGCAGCCUCCCCUGCGUAGUAGCACACACCUCGCACCGGAGCACGGAGACGGUCACGCCGUAAAACGCCAACUUCUUAGAGUUGACCUCGGAUCAGGUAGGAAUACCCGCUGAACUUAAGCAUAUCAAUAAGCGGAGGA